GUGCCUGUGGGAUGAACAGGUCCCAAUAUUUAGCGCCAUUUGCUCACUUUGUCAGUUAUAUCCAUACAUAUUUAGCUGAUCAUUUAAGAAUGGAAAAUUA
Molecule: small nucleolar RNA, 100 nt
Filed under: Setaria italica (foxtail millet)
Lineage: Eukaryota; Viridiplantae; Streptophyta; Magnoliopsida; Poales; Poaceae
Also listed under: 1 other name
Description: Small nucleolar RNA snoR99
Rfam family: Small nucleolar RNA snoR99
Source: Rfam by way of RNAcentral